This is a transfer RNA of 75 nucleotides. It matches the Rfam family "tRNA". From Rfam's summary of the family: Transfer RNA (tRNA) molecules are approximately 80 nucleotides in length. Their secondary structure includes four short double-helical elements and three loops (D, anti-codon, and T loops). Further hydrogen bonds mediate the characteristic L-shaped molecular structure. tRNAs have two regions of fundamental functional importance: the anti-codon, which is responsible for specific mRNA codon recognition, and the 3' end, to which the tRNAs corresponding amino acid is attached (by aminoacyl-tRNA synthetases). tRNAs cope with the degeneracy of the genetic code in two manners: having more than one tRNA (with a specific anti-codon) for a particular amino acid; and 'wobble' base-pairing, i.e. permitting non-standard base-pairing at the 3rd anti-codon position.
GCGGAAGUGGCUCAGGGGGAGAGCAUCGCCUUGCCAAGGCGAGGGUCGCGGGGUCGAAUCCCGUCUUCCGCUCCA